Sinocyclocheilus grahami is the source of this 472-nucleotide non-coding RNA. The record is from the annotation of a RefSeq genome assembly. Lineage: Eukaryota; Metazoa; Chordata; Actinopteri; Cypriniformes; Cyprinidae.
UACAAGCAGCUUCAUGUACUUUAUAUCAGCACUGCUAGUUUUAGCAGCUGCACCCUGUCUUUUCUGCAUUGAGCUGGAUCAGCCUCCUGUAAUGGUUGUAAAACCAGGGGAAACAUUUACCAUCGCCUGUAAGAUCACUGGAUAUUCAGCCUCAGGUGGAGGCUACACAAACUGGAUCAGACAUUCAAGUGGAAAACCGAUGGAAUGGAUCGGCUGGUACCACACUUCCAGCAGCAAUGGUGUCAAAGAUUCUCUCAAAAAUAAGAUCAGUUUCUCUUCUGAAUCCUCCAGCAACGCAGUUAUUUUAACAGGAAAAAACUUCAACACUGAGGACACUGCUGUGUAUUACUGUGCUCGAGAUACACUGUGCUACAACCUGUCACAGGACCUGUACAAAAACCCCGAACCACUGAACACAUUUUUCAAUAAAACAAAGUUAUACAUUGCAGAUCCUUUCCAUCUUAUGACAUAA